AGGACGAACGCUGGCGGCGUGCCUAAUACAUGCAAGUAGAACGCUGAAGGAGGAGCUUGCUUCUCCAGAUGAGUUGCGAACGGGUGAGUAACGCGUAGGUAACCUGCCUGGUAGCGGGGGAUAACGUAUUGGAAACGAUAGCUAAUACCGCAUAAGAGUAGAUGUUGCAUGACAUUUGACUUAAAAGGUGCAAUCGCAUCACUACCAGAUGGACCUGCGUUGUAUUAGCUAGGUUGGUGGGGUAACGGCUCACCAAGGCGACGAUACAUAGCCGACCUGAGACGGGUGAUCCGGACCACGACGUGGGACUGAAGACACGGCCCAGACUCGACGGAGCAGCAGUAGGAAUCGU
RNAcentral lists this ribosomal RNA (352 nucleotides) under uncultured soil bacterium. Its description in RNAcentral is "bacterial SSU rRNA". It matches the Rfam family "Bacterial small subunit ribosomal RNA", at positions 26 to 365 of the family's 1533-position model. The record is from RNAcentral.